This 393-nucleotide ribosomal RNA is filed under the name uncultured bacterium. RNAcentral describes it as "bacterial SSU rRNA". It matches the Rfam family "Bacterial small subunit ribosomal RNA", at positions 28 to 431 of the family's 1533-position model. The record is from RNAcentral.
GACGAACGCUGGCGGCGCGCCUUACGCAUGCAAGUCGAACGGUCGCCUUCGGGCGGCAGUGGCAGACGGCUGAGUAACGCGUAGGUAAUCUGUCCCGUAGUGGGGGAUAAGCCUUCGAAAGAAGGUCUAAUACCGCAUGAGAUCGCCGGGUGAAAGACCGGGCGAGGAAAGCCGCAAGGCGCUAUGGGAGGGGCCUGCGUCCUAUCAGGUAGUUGGUGAGGUAACGGCUCACCAAGCCGAUGACGGGUAGCUGGUCUGAGAGGACGACCAGCCAGACGGGGACUGAGACACGGCCCCGACUCCUACGGGAGGCAGCAGCGAGGAAUCUUGGGCAAUGGGCGAAAGCCUGACCCAGCGACGCCGCGUGGGGAAGAAGGCCUUCGGUCGUAACCC